UAGGGAAUUUUGCACAAUGGGCGCAAGCCUGAUGCAGCAACGCCGCGUGAGUGAAGAAGGCUCUUGGGUCGUAAAGCUCUUUCGGCUGGGAAGAAGGGACUGUCUGCGAAUAGUUGGCAGUUUUGACGGUACCAGAAGAAGAAGCACCUGCUAACUACGUGCCAGCAGCAGCGGUAAUACGUAGGGUGCAAGCGUUGUUCGGAAUUACUGGGCGUAAAGGGCGCGUAGGCGGGCCCGUGUGUCGAUUGUGAAAGCCCUGAGCUUAACUUGGGAAUUGCAGUCGAAACUGCGGGUCUUGAAUGCCUGAGGGGAUGGCGGAAUUCCCGGUGUAGAAGUGAAAUUCGUAGAUAUCGGGAAGAACACCUGAGGCGAAGGCGGCUAUCUGGCAGUGCAUUGACGC
This 400-nucleotide ribosomal RNA is filed under the name uncultured bacterium. RNAcentral describes it as "bacterial SSU rRNA". It matches the Rfam family "Bacterial small subunit ribosomal RNA", at positions 355 to 746 of the family's 1533-position model. The record is from RNAcentral.